AGAGAGCAAAGAAGCGUACAUUAUUAUAGCCCAGUUAUACUUUUUAGGUUUUUCUCCAAUCUCUCUCUCUCUCUCUCUGCAUUCAGUUAGUGAAUUUAUCUUUGAAAUUUUUCGUAAAACGAUGGUCACCAAAUUUUAAAUUUAAAAAUAAAAAUAAAAAAUCAGACCGUUGGGAUCUCCAUCACCCAUCAGCGACCGAGGAAAUCGAUGACGACGAUCAAAAUGAUGAGGAAUUCGGUUGAAGCAGAGGAAUACGGGUAAGUUUUCAGGGAAAUUUUGGGGAAAAAGGAAAAAGAAAGCUUUUUUCUGCUUGUAACUUCUAGUGAAGUCAGAGAGAUCCAGAAGGAGACACAGUUCAAGGAGCAGGCUUAGGCUUAUGAGGUUCUGAGUGAUCCUGAGAAACGUGAAUCUAUGACCCAUAUGGUGAGGACGCACUUAAGGAAUGGGUGGUGGCGGUAGAGCCCAUGGCCCAUUUGACAUCUUCCAAUCUUUCUGCAGCGGCAGUGCUUUUGGAGGCUAGAAGCAGAGGAGGACCGAGGCAGAGGAGUGGGGAUGAUGUGGUGCACCCUCUAAAGUUUUCACUGGAAGACGUUUACUUUGGAACCUCAAAUAAGCUCUCACUUUCCUGGAAUGUGAUUUGCUCCUAGUGUGAUGGGAAUGCCUUCUUCCUGUUCCCAAGGAAAGUCCUUUGGAAAUCUGAUAUUAGAGAACCACAGACUAAGGAUGACGGCAUGGAUUUAAGCUCUUAUCACUUGGCCGAUGCCGAUAUAGUUCUCUGCAUGCAUUUUGGUUCAGAAGUUGGUGCUGUUCCUCUAAGUCGUGUUUUGAUGACAAUUUGUUUACCUGCUUCAGAAACAUAAUUAUAUACUUAAUAAAGUUCCUUUUUCCAAUACCAAGGAGUAGAGAAGAAUAUGGAUGUAUAGAAGAGCAUACAAGUGCAGCCUUUUGCCCCUUCCGUACAUGACAGCGUGACCAACAUUGGUGAUAAUGGUGAUGAUGGCUAAUUCCUAGUUGAAGAAUUAAAUUUAAGCAGUAGUCUAAUCUUGUAUUUAUUAUAGAUUUUUUGUGUUUAUGAUUGUGUAAAGAUGAACCAACAGUAAUAAGGAUGGAUGGAUGGAUGGUUAUGUUGGUUUGGGAGAGAAGAGAUUGCUCGCGUAUUGCCUGGGAGCCUCCUUUGUGUGGGUGUGUUGGUGUCUCUGCUUUCUUUUUCUCCCCUGCAUUCCCUUUCUUUGUUCGCUCUUCAAUUUAUUUUUCUCUUUCUUUCCUUCUUUACCUUUUUCCUAUCUAAUUUUUCCCUCUGGUUUUUACUUUUCUUCACUCGUUUUCUAUGAUUUCUCUCAGUAUUUCUUCCUCAACUAUCUCCAUUUAAUUCUUACUCUUUCCAAAUUCUCUCUACAUUUUGUUUCUCAACUUUUCUCUUUUUUAUUUCUCUUUAAUUAAUUUUUCCCCUUCACGUACUUUUCCCACUUUAUUUUCUCCAAUUUUACUUAACAGUCUCUCUUUUCCUUCUCUUCUUUUAUCUUUAUGCUUUCUCUUACUACUUUCCUCUUCACACUCUCUUUAUUUUUUUCUCUCAACUUUCUCUUUUCACAUGUGGACCAACAUUAUCGCGUUUUAGGGUAAAUUGUUUAUGUCAUGGUUAGUAAUGCCAAGUUUCCUAAAAUUUCAUUUGUCCUUGAAGAUAAUUAAUUAACAACUGUUUGAAUCGACUGUAUUUUUAUUGUAAUAAUAAAAUCAAAACCUAAAAAUAAAAAAGAAGAGAAACAAUAAAGAAAACUAUUAAAAUGAGUGACAAAUUAAUAUAAGAAAAACAAACUUAACUUUUUUAUUUUCUAAGAAAAUGGAAAAUUUCAUUUUUAUUACUAUAAAAAACUUAUUUUAGUAGUAUCAAUUGAAAAAGAAAUAAAAAACUGAAAGAAUCAAAAGAAAAUAGCAUAAAUAUUGAAAUGUUUCGUAAAGUACAAUAAUAUAAAAAAAAAUAGAAAAUCUAAAAUAGGAAUUAAAUUAAUAUAAAAUUUAAAAAAUAAACAAUCAAAUAGUAGUUUUUUGGAAAAGAAAAGUCCUAAUCGCUGGAAAAACUACUUUUCUUAUAACCAGCUAAAACAAAAAAAUAGAAACAUUUAAUUAAAAAAACACUAAAAAAUUAAUAAGCUGAAAGAAAAUAUAUUAAAUAAAUGAAAAUACAUUUAAAAUAUAUAGUCUAACACAAUAAAUGAAAAUAAAUAAACUUAAAAAAUACAAAAAAAAAACUUUUAAACGAAAAAAAUAACACAUGAAACUAGCUCUAGUAUAAAAAAAUAAUAAAAAUAAAAAUAAAAACAUUUUAUCGAAUUUUAUUAAUGCUGCUCAUGUUUUUACAUUAAUAAUUAACAGGCUAGAUUAAAAAAAAAAUUAAAAAACAUGUAAUAUCAACCAUAUUAUUCAAAUAAUUAAAUGUAAAAUUAUUUUUGUAUUUACCUUAGCAUUAAAUGUACAAGGAAAAGUUAACAGGAAAAAUAGUAGUCUUAGAACUGAUUUUAUUAUAUAAUUUUAUAAAAACAAUCAGCAAAUACAAUCUUAAAAAAAAUCAUGUAGUCAAGAGCAAAUGAAAUUUAUGGAAACUUGGCAUUACUAGCUUAUGGAACAAAUAUUAUCCCGUAAUAAUGAGAAAGAGAAGCUAGAGAGACUUGCUAGAGAAAGUGUGAAGAGAGAAAGUGCAUGUAGAAAGUGUUAUAGAUAAACUUAAGAGUAGAGAGAAAGGUAAAGAGAUGUAGUUAAAUUGUAGAACAAAAAAAGUAAUGAUGAGAAAAUGCAUGGAGAGAGAGUUUUGUAAAGAGAAUUCAUUAGAGAAAGUGGGGGAAGAAAAUGGAAAGAGAAAAUUAGAAAGGGUCUUGAAAUGGAGAAUUAGAGGGAGGAAAGAAAGAGGGAACGAAUGUUUAGAGAAGAAAAUGGAGAGAAGAUGGGAAAUAGCAGACAAACAAGAGAGAAAGUAGGGGGGGUAUUUUUUUUAUUUUUUUAUUUUAAACAUUUUCACGUUACUUUUUUAUUGAAUGUACUUUUUUCAAUUAGCAUGUAUUUUAUUUUCCAUCAAUGAAUUCAGAAGUUUAGAA
Molecule: long non-coding RNA, 3089 nt
Organism: Ziziphus jujuba (common jujube)
Lineage: Eukaryota; Viridiplantae; Streptophyta; Magnoliopsida; Rosales; Rhamnaceae
Exons: 9
Source: RefSeq, a predicted model, not a curated record